GAUGAACGCUGGCGGCGUGCCUAAUACAUGCAAGUCGAGCGAACAGAUGAGGAGCUUGCUCCUCUGACGUUAGCGGCGGACGGGUGAGUAACACGUGGAUAACCUACCUAUAAGACUGGGAUAACUUCGGGAAACCGGAGCUAAUACCGGAUAAUAUAUUGAGCCGCAUGGUUCAAUAGUGAAAGACGGUUUUGCUGUCACUUAUAGAUGGAUCCGCGCCGCAUUAGCUAGUUGGUAAGGUAACGGCUUACCAAGGCAACGAUGCGUAGCCGACCUGAGAGGGUGAUCGGCCACACGGGAACUGAGACACGGUCCAGACUCCUACGGGAGGCAGCAGUAGGGAAUCUUCCGCAAUGGGCGAAAGCCUGACGGAGCAACGCCGCGUGAGUGAUGAAGGUCUUCGGAUCGUAAAACUCUGUUAUUAGGGAAGAACAAAUGUGUAAGUAACUAUGCACGUCUUGACGGUACCUAAUCAGAAAGCCACGGCUAACUACGU
This 496-nucleotide ribosomal RNA is filed under the name uncultured bacterium. RNAcentral's name for it is "partial 16S ribosomal RNA". It matches the Rfam family "Bacterial small subunit ribosomal RNA", at positions 28 to 506 of the family's 1533-position model. The record is from RNAcentral.